Molecule: RNA transcript, 462 nt
Organism: Arabidopsis thaliana (thale cress)
Lineage: Eukaryota; Viridiplantae; Streptophyta; Magnoliopsida; Brassicales; Brassicaceae
Exons: 3
Source: RefSeq
AUUGAAUCUAAGUACUUGUUAUGCUACUCUAAAAGUGAAUUCCAAGCCACACAAGCUCAAACAUUGUCAUACAAAAAUAAAUAUAUUUACUUAGAUAUGUUUCAUCAAGUGAUUUCAUGUCAAGGGAUACUCAUUGAUACUUCAAAAUCCAAGAGAUUCACAAGUUUCAAGAGUAACAGAAACAACAAGAGCAAAGCAGCCGAAUUCCAGCUUGGAUCAUACUUAAUAAAUUCCAGUAAGUUUCUUGAUUAGCAUUAUUUCUGUGGUUUAUUUGUAGUCUUAUAUUCUUAUUAACUGCUAUUAGAAGGGUUUUGUAUCAAGAUGGAGAACUCUUAAGCUGAUUAUAACUAAACUUAGGAAAGUGUUUCAAUUGCCUCGGAAAAACAAAGGAUCAGAUAGACGAUUCUUAAGCGGAAAAGAACCAAAUUUAAGAAAGCCAUCAAGUCUCCUCGAAAGAAGAAG